Apis mellifera (honey bee) is the source of this 1155-nucleotide long non-coding RNA. RefSeq lists it as uncharacterized. NCBI's taxonomy places the organism in Eukaryota, Metazoa, Arthropoda, Insecta, Hymenoptera, Apidae. The record is from RefSeq and is a predicted model, not a curated record. The transcript is spliced from 3 exons.
AAAGAUGUGCUCACAAAGAAAGCCCUUGGAAGAUUUUACCAAGAAUUUUCAUUGUUGCUGAUACAAGGUCUAUGUUAUUGACAGAAAUUGUAUUGUCCAAGAGGAUUAUUAUACAGGAUCGAUAAAUCUAUAUUAGAAUCAAGGAUAAUCAUUGAAGUACAAUAGGAUAGUUGGCCAAGGAUUAAUUCCUUUGAAUUUUAAGGGAUAAUUGUUAUUAAUUCUCAAGAUGUGACAGAUUCAAUUCUUAAUUCAAUUAUUCUUAAUUCCUUUUUUCCUUUUGAAAAAUUAAAUUGAUCCUCGUUCUGAGAAAUUUCUCUCAAUAACCUUACAAUUAGCACUUUAAAUUUGAUAAUUUUACCAGUUGGAUAAAAAUUGUAUACAACUGUUGACGCAACGGGACUUUUUCCAGACGUAAUGUAAACGUCAAUAAUUUCCAAGAAAAAACGAGAAAAGAAGAAAAAAAAAGAGGGAAGAAACGGGCAGAGAAAGAUCUGUCGGUCGUAAAUCGAACAUUGAAUACAAAUGAGGUGGAACUUCCUGAGCUUGGAAGAACAGAGAACGCGUGGCCGCGAGACGACAUCUAUCGUGUUUCAACCAUGAUAAUAAUAAAUGGAGCGAGCUUACGUGCGCGAUACACUGGCGGACGCGAAGGUUUUCACCUUCGUUCACGCGGAUAUGUAAAUAAACAUUACUACUAUUACUGCUGCUGCCGCUGCUGAUCGAAUUUGAUAUUUUCUUUUUCCGUGUAUAUUCGCCAAUUUACGCUGAUAUCUUUUGUUACAAGCUCGAGCUCUAUCAGUCCCUAUUUACAUUUUUAAAUUCGUCUCGCGUCUUUGAAAAAAAAUUUGCACCGUAUAAUUUCAUCCUGUGUAUUCCUUCCUCGUUAUUUACACCGUGUUUCAGCCUUAUCUUCUUUUUUAAAAAUAAAGUUCCAUUAAGGACGUCGACGGUGAAUGAAGGCAAAAAAAAUAAAUCGAGCUUAUCUCAAUGGAAGGGGAAAUUUGAAAGGGAAGAUGGAAAUUGUCUCUCUCUCUCUCUCUCUCUCUCUCUCUCUCUCUCUCUCUCUCUCUCUCUUUCGUUCUCUGUGAACGACGUUAUUCUCGAUAUCGGUGACGAAGAAUCUUCACCGGUGACGUAAGAAAAAAAAAAAAAAAA